AUCUAGAUAGCUUAUAUUAAGAGCAUGACACUGAAGAUGUUAGGGAAACCUAAGGUUUCUAGAUA
RNAcentral lists this transfer RNA (65 nucleotides) under Pseudabris hingstoni. Its description in RNAcentral is "tRNA-Phe". RNAcentral also lists the same sequence under 1 other name. The record is from RNAcentral. Lineage: Eukaryota; Metazoa; Arthropoda; Insecta; Coleoptera; Meloidae.